RNAcentral lists this ribosomal RNA (325 nucleotides) under Digitipes indicus. RNAcentral describes it as "eukaryotic LSU rRNA". It matches the Rfam family "Eukaryotic large subunit ribosomal RNA", at positions 711 to 963 of the family's 3401-position model. The record is from RNAcentral. Lineage: Eukaryota; Metazoa; Arthropoda; Chilopoda; Scolopendromorpha; Scolopendridae.
AAGGCGCAAUGAAAGUGAAGGUCAGGCAUCGCACUGACUGAGGCAGGAUCCGUCCGGGUGAGCGAAGCUCUUCUUCCCUUCGCGGGUUCGUCCCGCGGGGGAGCUCGGCGGCGCACUGCCAGCCCAUCUCGGCCGCUUCCCGUCGGCGAGGUGGAGCCAGAGCGCACACGUUGGGACCCGAAAGAUGGUGAACUAUGCUCGGGCAGGACGAAGCCAGAGGAAACUCUGGUGGAGGUCCGUAGCGAUUCUGACGUGCAAAUCGAUCGUCGGACCCGAGUAUAGGGGCGAAAGACUAAUCGAACCGUCUAGUAGCUGGUUUCCUUCC